GGAUUUCCUUAGUAACUGCGAGUGAAACGGAAAGAGCUCAGCGUCGAAACCGUGUUGGCCCUGUCGACACUGUAUUGUGACGUAUAGAGGCGGUCAUGUGCGUUUGGCUGGUUGUACGAAAUCCCUUUGACUAGGGUUCCAAAGCGGGUGCGAGACCCGUACGUGCAGCCGGCCGUUCGUACGCGGCAGUCUUUUGGAGUAGGGUUGUUUGAGAUCGCAGCCCAAAGCAGGUGGUAUACUUCAUCUAAAGCUAAAUACGACUACGAAUCCGAUAGCAAACAAGUACCGUGAGGGAAAGUUGCAAAGUACUUUGAAGAGAGAGUUCAAGAGGACGUGAAACCGAUAGGAUGGAAGCAGAUGAAGUUGACGAACGAGUGUCGUAUUCAGGGUCGCGUCUUGUGCGCGGUCUGUUCUUGCGACCGACGUGGGCCGGCGGUCUUGGUCAAUGCACUGUGUCUAGCGUCGAUGGAGACCCUGCGGAGGGAUCAUCAGUCGGCGUACGAUGCGUGGUAUGGCUAAGGUUCUGUCGCCGGUCUUGAAAGUCAGCGCCUCAUCUGACCCGUCUUGAAACACGGACCAAGGAGUGUAGCGUUUACGCGAGUCUUAGAGUGUAUCAAAACUUUGAGGCGCAACGAAAGUAAAGGUGACGUAAGUUGCUGACUUGGGAUGCGCUGUCUUCUUGUGGACGGCGCUGGACCAUGGUUAUAUCGCGAUCGCUUGCGAUGCGGUGUAAAUAGAGCGUAAACGGUGCGACCCGAAAGAUGGUGAACUAUGCCUGAGCAGGAUGAAGCCGGAGGAAACUCUGGUGGAAGUCCGAAGCGGUUCUGACGUGCAAAUCGAUCGUCUGACUUGGGUAUAGGGGCGAAAGACUAAUC
This 875-nucleotide ribosomal RNA is filed under the name Steinernema cubanum. Its description in RNAcentral is "eukaryotic LSU rRNA". It matches the Rfam family "Eukaryotic large subunit ribosomal RNA", at positions 72 to 936 of the family's 3401-position model. Lineage: Eukaryota; Metazoa; Nematoda; Chromadorea; Rhabditida; Steinernematidae. The record is from RNAcentral.